RNAcentral lists this ribosomal RNA (465 nucleotides) under uncultured bacterium. Its description in RNAcentral is "partial 16S ribosomal RNA". It matches the Rfam family "Bacterial small subunit ribosomal RNA", at positions 28 to 507 of the family's 1533-position model. The record is from RNAcentral.
GACGAACGCUGGCGGCGUGCUUAACACAUGCAAGUCGAACGGAAAGGCCCUGCUUGCAGGGUACUCGAGUGGCGAACGGGUGAGUAACACGUGGGUGAUCUGCCCUGCACUUCGGGGUAAGCCUGGGAAACUGGGUCUAUUACCGGAUAGGAGCCCUUUUUAGUGUGAUGGUUGGAAAGUUUUUUCGGUGUAGGAUGAGCUCGCGGCCUAUCAGCUUGUUGGUGGGGUAAUGGCCUACCAAGGCGGCGACGGGUAGCCGGCCCGAGAGGGUGGACGGCCAAAAUUGGACUGGGGAUCCGGCCAGAAUCCUACGGGAGGGAGGAGUGGGGGAUAUUGCACAAUGGGGGCAAGCCUGAUGCAGCGACGCCGCGGGGGGGAUGACGGCCUUUGGGUUGUAAACUCCUUUCGCUAGGGACGAAGCUUUUUGUGACGGUACCUAGAUAAGAAGCACCGGCUAACUACGUG